GAUACGAGUUUGAUCCUGGCUCAGAACGAACGCUGGCGGCAGGCUUAACACAUGCAAGUCGAGCGCCUCGCAAGAGGAGCGGGCAGACGGGUGAGUAACGCGUGGGAAUGUACCCUUUGCUACGGAAUAGCUCCGGGAAACUGGAAUUAAUACCGUAUGUGCCCUUCGGGGGAAAGAUUUAUCGGCAAAGGAUCAGCCCGCGUUGGAUUAGCUAGUUGGUGGGGUAAUGGCCUACCAAGGCGACGAUCCAUAGCUGGUCUGAGAGGAUGAUCAGCCACACUGGGACUGAGACACGGCCCAGACUCCUACGGGAGGCAGCAGUGGGGAAUAUUGGACAAUGGGCGCAAGCCUGAUCCAGCCAUGCCGCGUGAGUGAUGAAGGCCCUAGGGUUGUAAAGCUCUUUCACCGGUGAAGAUAAUGACGGUAACCGGAGAAGAAGCCCGGCUAACUUCGUG
This 455-nucleotide ribosomal RNA is filed under the name uncultured bacterium. RNAcentral's name for it is "bacterial SSU rRNA". It matches the Rfam family "Bacterial small subunit ribosomal RNA", at positions 1 to 507 of the family's 1533-position model. The record is from RNAcentral.